This 253-nucleotide ribosomal RNA is filed under the name uncultured bacterium. Its description in RNAcentral is "partial 16S ribosomal RNA". It matches the Rfam family "Bacterial small subunit ribosomal RNA", at positions 524 to 776 of the family's 1533-position model. The record is from RNAcentral.
UACAGAGGGGGCAAGCGUUAUUCGGAAUUAUUGGGCGUAAAGGGCGCGUAGGCGGCCUGGCAAGUGGAAGGUGAAAUCCCUCGGCUUAACCGAGGAACUGCCCUCCAAACUGCUUGGCUUGAGUCCGGGAGAGGUGAGUGGAAUUCCCAGUGUAGCGGUGAAAUGCGUAGAUAUCGGAAGGAACACCUGUGGCGAAAGCGGCGCACUGGACCAAAACUGACGCUGAGGCGCGAAAGCUAGGGGAGCAAACAGG